This 343-nucleotide long non-coding RNA is filed under the name Macaca mulatta (Rhesus monkey). RNAcentral describes it as "lncRNA (ENSMMUG00000040026.2)". Lineage: Eukaryota; Metazoa; Chordata; Mammalia; Primates; Cercopithecidae. The record is from RNAcentral.
CUUGACUUCAGAAGAAGGGGAUGAGGACAGCACAUUGCUGUAUGCUAUUUCUCUGGGGAACGGACAGCUCUAGAUUUGAGAGGUGAGAGAGCAGAAUGUGUCUGCUUCAUAGAACAGGAUCAACUGUCUCUCAACACCAAUGAGCCGUUCUCCGCCACAGAUCUCUCUCCCAGGCCAUGACUCUCCACCAGGUCAUUGUUGUGAGAGAAUUCUAUGUACCCCUGGGGGUACUUCGCAAAAAAGACUUCACAAGAAAGAAAUACUUUCAAUUUAAAACCCAACAGGAUGAUAUUGAGUGGUCCCCUUCCAAUGGGACGGACAAUAAAGAAAACAAGGAGCUCAG